This 396-nucleotide ribosomal RNA is filed under the name uncultured Methanosaeta sp. Its description in RNAcentral is "bacterial SSU rRNA". It matches the Rfam family "Archaeal small subunit ribosomal RNA", at positions 943 to 1338 of the family's 1478-position model. The record is from RNAcentral. Lineage: Archaea; Methanobacteriati; Methanobacteriota; Methanomicrobia; Methanotrichales; Methanotrichaceae.
CAAUAUGAAGGUCAGGCUGAAGACCUUACCCGAUUAGCUGAGAGGUGGUGCAUGGCCGUCGUCAGUUCGUACUGUGAAGCAUCCUGUUAAGUCAGGCAACGAGCGAGACCCACGUCCACAGUUGCCAGCAUACCCUCCGGGGUGAUGGGUACACUGUGGAGACCGCCGCUGCUAAAGCGGAGGAAGGAGUGGGCAACGGUAGGUCAGUAUGCCCCGAAUCUCCCGGGCUACACGCGGGCUACAAUGGUUGGUACAAUGGGCAUCUACCCCGAAAGGGGAAGGAAAUCUCUUAGAGCCAAUCGUAGUUCGGAUUGAGGGCUGCAACUCGCCCUCAUGAAGCUGGAAUCCGUAGUAAUCGCGUUUCAACAGAACGCGGUGAAUACGUCCCUGCUCCUU